GACGAACGCUGGCGGCGUGCCUAAUACAUGCAAGUAGAACGCUGAAGGAGGAGCUUGCUUCUCUGGAUGAGUUGCGAACGGGUGAGUAACGCGUAGGUAACCUGCCUGGUAGCGGGGGAUAACUAUUGGAAACGAUAGCUAAUACCGCAUAAGAGUAGAUGUUGCAUGACAUUUGCUUAAAAGGUGCAAUUUCAUCACUACCAGAUGGACCUGCGUUGUAUUAUCUAGUUGGUGGGGUAACGGCUCACCAAGGCGACGAUACAUCGCCGACCUGGGAGGGGGAUCGGCCACACUGGGACCGAGAAACCGCCCAGACUCCUACGGGAGGCAGCAGUAGGGGAUCUUCGGCAAUGGGCGGAAGUCUGACCGGGCAACGCCGCGUGAGUGAAGAAGGUUCUCGGAUCGUAAAGCUCUGUUGUAAGAGAAGAACGAGUGUGAGAGUGGAAAGUUCACACUGUGACGGUAUCUUACCAGAAAGGGACGGCUAACUACGUG
This 495-nucleotide ribosomal RNA is filed under the name uncultured bacterium. RNAcentral's name for it is "partial 16S ribosomal RNA". It matches the Rfam family "Bacterial small subunit ribosomal RNA", at positions 28 to 507 of the family's 1533-position model. The record is from RNAcentral.